RNAcentral lists this ribosomal RNA (951 nucleotides) under Chilostomella sp. AtlMed. Its description in RNAcentral is "bacterial SSU rRNA". It matches the Rfam family "Eukaryotic small subunit ribosomal RNA", at positions 1176 to 1778 of the family's 1831-position model. Lineage: Eukaryota; Foraminifera; Rotaliida; Chilostomellidae. The record is from RNAcentral.
GUGGAGCAUGUGGCUUAAUUUGACUCAACGCGGGAAAUCUUACCGGGUCCGGACACACUGAGGAUUGACAGGCAAUAUUAAUACAUCAGCUCUUUUUUAUUAAAGUCUGUGUAUUAUGUUAAAUAUGCUAGUCCUUUCAUGAUUAUGUGAUAGGUGGUGCAUGGCCGUUCUUAGUUCGUGGAGUGAUCUGUCUGCUUAAUUGCGUUUCACUAAGGGCCUAUAAAUUUACGUGUGUUGCGGCACUUUGACCCCUCUCUGAGCGCGCGUCUUAGUUUGCUUUGCUCGCACAAUUAGGUCCUGAAAGCAACGAACGUGACCGCAACCUCUUGUUGCCUUUAUUCCAAACAUGUUUGCCAUUUUAAAUGGUAUUCAUGAAAAAAGGCUUUUUAAACUAGAGGGACCGCUGUUACUUUCUUAAACCAGAGGAAGGUUGCGGCAAUAACAGGUCUGUGAUGCCCUUAGAUGUUCCGGGCUGCACACGUGCUACAAUGAUUAUUGCAGUGAGCAUCUCAUUUUUACACACCGCAUGCGCGAGUCCAUUUAUUCACCUCUCUGAGGCGCUUUAAAUGUGUACCUCUGCGCGCGGUAAAGCCUACUUCGAGAGUAAGUGGGUAAUCAAUUAGAAGUAAUGAUUUCCUUUUUAGCACACAUAUAUACGGCGUCUAUGCCCGGGCUGCCUUGUUGUAGCUUUUGUGCGUAUAGAUGUUUUUUCCGUAUGUGCGAUUGUCAAUUCAUGGUGGGGACAGACCAUUGUUAAUUGUUGGUCUCGGUCUUAACUAGGAAUGCCUUGUACGGGUCUUUGGUUCAACAAACCACCCGGAAUACGUCCCUGCCCUUUGUACACACCGCCCGUCGCUCUUACCGAUGGACUUCUCUGUGAGUUUGAGGGACUGGGAACGCAGAUUUUAUCUGCACACCUAUGGAAACUUAAACGAACAGUGUGGUCUAAAG